RNAcentral lists this ribosomal RNA (366 nucleotides) under uncultured Leptolyngbya sp. RNAcentral's name for it is "bacterial SSU rRNA". It matches the Rfam family "Bacterial small subunit ribosomal RNA", at positions 1067 to 1432 of the family's 1533-position model. The record is from RNAcentral. Lineage: Bacteria; Bacillati; Cyanobacteriota; Cyanophyceae; Leptolyngbyales; Leptolyngbyaceae.
GUGAGAUGUUGGGUUAAGUCCCGCAACGAGCGCAACCCACGUUUUUAGUUGCCAUCAUUCAGUUGGGCACUCUAAAGAGACUGCCGGGGACAACUCGGAGGAAGGUGUGGACGACGUCAAGUCAUCAUGCCCCUUACGUCUUGGGCUACACACGUCCUACAAUGCUACAGACAGAGGGCAGCGAGCGCGCGAGUGCAAGCAAAUCCCAUAAACUGUGGCUCAGUUCAGAUUGCAGGCUGCAACUCGCCUGCAUGAAGGCGGAAUCGCUAGUAAUCGCAGGUCAGCAUACUGCGGUGAAUACGUUCCCGGGCCUUGUACACACCGCCCGUCACACCAUGGGAGUUGGCCACGCCGUCGACGCGGCCG